AAACUUUCAACAACGGAUCUCUUGGCUCUGGCAUCGAUGAAGAACGCAGCGAAAUGCGAUACGUAAUGCGAAUUGCAGAAUUCAGCGAGUCAUCGAAUCUUUGAACGCACAUUGCGCCCGCCAGCAUUCUGGCGGGCAUGC
Molecule: ribosomal RNA, 141 nt
Filed under: Ophiostoma quercus
Lineage: Eukaryota; Fungi; Ascomycota; Sordariomycetes; Ophiostomatales; Ophiostomataceae
Also listed under: 1 other name
Description: 5.8S ribosomal RNA
Rfam family: 5.8S ribosomal RNA
About the family: 5.8S ribosomal RNA (5.8S rRNA) is a component of the large subunit of the eukaryotic ribosome. It is transcribed by RNA polymerase I as part of the 45S precursor that also contains 18S and 28S rRNA.
Source: RNAcentral